RNAcentral lists this ribosomal RNA (465 nucleotides) under Vreelandella stevensii. RNAcentral's name for it is "partial 16S ribosomal RNA". It matches the Rfam family "Bacterial small subunit ribosomal RNA", at positions 338 to 795 of the family's 1533-position model. The record is from RNAcentral. Lineage: Bacteria; Pseudomonadati; Pseudomonadota; Gammaproteobacteria; Oceanospirillales; Halomonadaceae.
CCUACGGGAGGCAGCAGUGGGGAAUAUUGGACAAUGGGGGCAACCCUGAUCCAGCCAUGCCGCGUGUGUGAAGAAGGCCCUCGGGUUGUAAAGCACUUUCAGUGAGGAAGAACGCCUGGUGGUUAAUACCCAUCAGGAAAGACAUCACUCACAGAAGAAGCACCGGCUAACUCCGUGCCAGCAGCCGCGGUAAUACGGAGGGUGCGAGCGUUAAUCGGAAUUACUGGGCGUAAAGCGCGCGUAGGUGGCUUGAUAAGCCGGUUGUGAAAGCCCCGGGCUCAACCUGGGAACGGCAUCCGGAACUGUCAAGCUAGAGUGCAGGAGAGGAAGGUAGAAUUCCCGGUGUAGCGGUGAAAUGCGUAGAGAUCGGGAGGAAUACCAGUGGCGAAGGCGGCCUUCUGGACAGACACUGACACUGAGGUGCGAAAGCGUGGGUAGCAAACAGGAUUAGAUACCCUAGUAGUC